RNAcentral lists this ribosomal RNA (253 nucleotides) under uncultured bacterium. RNAcentral's name for it is "partial 16S ribosomal RNA". It matches the Rfam family "Bacterial small subunit ribosomal RNA", at positions 524 to 776 of the family's 1533-position model. The record is from RNAcentral.
UACAGAGGGGGCAAGCGUUAUUCGGAAUUAUUGGGCGUAAAGGGCGCGUAGGCGGCCUGGCAAGUGGAAGGUGAAAUCCCUCGGCUUAACCGAGGAACUGCCCUCCAAACUGCUUGGCUUGAGACCGGGAGAGGUGAGUGGAAUUCCCAGUGUAGCGGUGAAAUGCGUAGAUAUCAUUUGGAACGCCAAUGGUGAAAACAGGUAGCUGGGAGUGUGCUGACGCUGAGACACGAAAGCCAGGGGAGCGAACGGG